AUUGAACGCUGGCGGCAGGCCUAACACAUGCAAGUCGAGCGGAUGAAGGGAGCUUGCUCCUGGAUUCAGCGGCGGACGGGUGAGUAAUGCCUAGGAAUCUGCCUGGUAGUGGGGGAUAACGUCCGGAAACGGGCGCUAAUACCGCAUACGUCCUGAGGGAGAAAGUGGGGGAUCUUCGGACCUCACGCUAUCAGAUGAGCCUAGGUCGGAUUAGCUAGUUGGUGGGGUAAAGGCCUACCAAGGCGACGAUCCGUAACUGGUCUGAGAGGAUGAUCAGUCACACUGGAACUGAGACACGGUCCAGACUCCUACGGGAGGCAGCAGUGGGGAAUAGUGGAAGAUGGGCGGAAGCCUGAUCCAGCCAUGCCGCGUGUGUGAAGAAGGUCUUCGGAUUGGAAAGCACUUUAAGUUGGGAGGAAGGGCAGUAAGUUAAUACCUUGCUGUUUUGACGUUACCAACAGAAUAAGCACCGGCUAACUUCGUG
This 484-nucleotide ribosomal RNA is filed under the name uncultured bacterium. Its description in RNAcentral is "partial 16S ribosomal RNA". It matches the Rfam family "Bacterial small subunit ribosomal RNA", at positions 30 to 507 of the family's 1533-position model. The record is from RNAcentral.